AUCUUCGGGGCAGGGUGAAAUUCCCUACCGGUGGUUAAAGCCCACGAGCCAUUUGGUUGAUUCGGUGAGAUUCCGAAGCCGACGGUACAGUCCGGAUGAAAGAAGAU
Molecule: non-coding RNA, 107 nt
Filed under: human gut metagenome
Description: FMN riboswitch (RFN element)
Rfam family: FMN riboswitch aptamer (RFN element)
About the family: The RFN element is a highly conserved domain that is found frequently in the 5'-untranslated regions of prokaryotic mRNAs that encode for flavin mononucleotide (FMN) biosynthesis and transport proteins. This element is a metabolite-dependent riboswitch that directly binds FMN in the absence of proteins.
Source: RNAcentral